This 274-nucleotide ribosomal RNA is filed under the name uncultured bacterium. RNAcentral's name for it is "partial 16S ribosomal RNA". It matches the Rfam family "Bacterial small subunit ribosomal RNA", at positions 523 to 796 of the family's 1533-position model. The record is from RNAcentral.
AUACAGAGGGAGCUAGCGUUGUUCGGAAUUACUGGGCGUAAAGCGUACGCAGGCGGCUUGGUAAGUAGAGGGUGAAAUCCCAGAGCUCAACUCUGGAACUGCCCCCUAAACUGCCGAGCUAGUAUCCUGGAGAGGUGAGUGGAAUUCCUAGUGUAGAGGUGAAAUUCGUAGAUAUUAGGAAGAACACCAGUGGCGAAGGCGACUCACUGGACAGGUAUUGACGCUGAGGUACGAAAGCGUGGGGAGCGAACAGGAUUAGAUACCCUAGUAGUCC